AGAAGAAAAAAAGUGAAAGAAAAGAAGUAGAGGGAGAUCCUGUUCAUGUAAUAUCUUUGUUGAAAUUUUAGCUUGAAAUGGGGAUUUCGUUCUUUCUCGAAUUUUUAAUAUUCUCCAAUGAAUCUUGGCGGUUACCUCUUGGAAUGGAUUUGUGGGGAAGAAUUUAGGUUUCGUGUCAAAUUAGGACUAUUGGACCUGGAACUAUUGGGAUUUGAAUUAACCUCGUUUCGUCUCACCAUCGUGUCUUUCAUGAAUCAACAAUCCAUUUUUCCAUGAUUUUUUAAAUGGAAAAAAGAUCUGAAAAAUCAAGAAAAAACAAAGGAUUGGGACGAAGGAGGAGGAUAAUUACUAGUAUGUAUCUCUAUGUUUGUAUGAUCUGUGUAAUUUUGGGGUUAAUUAUGAGCAAGGGUUGUAAUAUGAUGGGAAAUAUAAUGUUAAUGGUUUCUGCUAUGUUGUUUUAAAAAAUAAUAAUUAGGAAAAAUUGUGCACAUCUCCUUUGUAUCAUCUUCUUCUUUCA
RNAcentral lists this long non-coding RNA (517 nucleotides) under Vitis vinifera (wine grape). Its description in RNAcentral is "long non-coding RNA (VVIN_LNC000305)". The record is from RNAcentral. Lineage: Eukaryota; Viridiplantae; Streptophyta; Magnoliopsida; Vitales; Vitaceae.